GAUGAACGCUGGCGGCGUGCCUAAUACAUGCAAGUCGAGCGAACAGACGAGGCGCUUGCUCCUCUGACGUUAGCGGCGGACGGGUGAGUAACACGUGGAUAACCUACCUAUAAGACUGGGAUAACUUCGGGAAACCGGAUCUAAUACCGGAUAAUAUAUUGAACCGUAUGGUUCAAUAGUGAAAGACGGUUUUGCUGUCACUUAUAGAUGGAUCCGCGCCGCAUUAGCUAGUUGGUAAGGUAACGGCUUACCAAGGCAACGAUGCGUAGCCGACCUGAGAGAGUGGUCGGCCACACUGGAACGGGGACACGGUCCAGACUCCUGCGGGAGGCAGCAGUAGGGAAUGUUACGCAAUGGGCGAAAGCCUGACGGAGCAACGCCGCGUGAGAGAUGAAGGUCUUCGGAGCGUAAAGCUCUGUUAUUAGGGAAGAACAAAUGUGUAAGUAACUAUGCACGUAUUGACGGUACCUAGUCAGAAAGCCACGGCUAACUACGUG
This 497-nucleotide ribosomal RNA is filed under the name uncultured bacterium. Its description in RNAcentral is "partial 16S ribosomal RNA". It matches the Rfam family "Bacterial small subunit ribosomal RNA", at positions 28 to 507 of the family's 1533-position model. The record is from RNAcentral.